This 2284-nucleotide small RNA is filed under the name Pan troglodytes (chimpanzee). Its description in RNAcentral is "retained intron". The record is from RNAcentral. Lineage: Eukaryota; Metazoa; Chordata; Mammalia; Primates; Hominidae.
AGCGCCGAAGGAGUAAGACGAUCUUCUCCGCAACAGUGUUGAAUCCGGCUGAAAUUUUUUUUCCUCCCCGCCUCCUUUCUUGUUUUUCUUUAACCAGCUCCUCCCCCCUUCGUUCCCACCCUCAAGUCUGACGAUGACACCUCCAAUUUUGAUGAACCAGAGAAGAAUUCGUGGGUUUCAUCCUCUCCGUGCCAGCUGAGCCCCUCAGGUUUCUCGGGUGAAGAACUGCCGUUUGUGGGGUUUUCGUACAGCAAGGCACUGGGGAUUCUUGGUAGAUCUGAGUCUGUUGUGUCGGGUCUGGACUCCCCUGCCAAGACUAGCUCCAUGGAAAAGAAACUUCUCAUCAAAAGCAAAGAGCUACAAGACUCUCAGGACAAGUGUCACAAGAUGGAGCAGGAAAUGACCCGGUUACAUCGGAGAGUGUCAGAGGUGGAGGCUGUGCUUAGUCAGAAGGAGGUGGAGCUGAAGGCCUCUGAGACUCAGAGAUCCCUCCUGGAGCAGGACCUUGCUACCUACAUCACAGAAUGCAGUGUGAGCCUUCCCUGAAGCCCCCUUCCCUUGGAGGUGGCACUUCCUGUUGUGUGUGUCUCAUCCUGUUUCAUGAUGGCUCCAUGAGGCACAUCACAGCCAAUGGCAGAGAGUAGAGAGAGGGAGAGCACAAAAGCAAGAUCUGUGUUUUGCAGAGUAGUGAGAGCCAGGCGUAAGGUCCCCAAGAAAUGAGACUGGACUCAUUUCCAGCAGAAAGUGCAGGUAGAUGGCUGGUACCAUGGAGUCUGGGGAUGGGAGUAAUCCAUCUUUGCCGCAAGUUGCAAAAGAUCUUAACAUCUCCCAUCCCAGCCUCUGUGGUCUGCGUUGUGUCUGACAUGAGCAGCCUUGAGAACCAGACUCCCAACUAUGUACAAGAAAACUUGCUUUCAAUCUUCCUGACAUCAAAUUUUCCAUUGGCCAGAACCAGUGUAGUGACAAGAAAAUAGCCUUGAAAACCCAGACCCUCUGUCAUUAUUUACCAUGUGACUUUCAUUUUUUCUUUCCUUCACAAGAGUAGACUGUCUUCUUCUCCAUUGUCUUGUUAAAUUUUUCAUUCAGGUGUUUUUUUAAUGUGCCCAAUUAAACAGUCUUAAGAAGUUGAAUCACACAUUUCUAAAGUUUUUUUCACAAGGGAGAGGAAAUCUAUAGAACGUGGCUGAUUAAGAAUAACUGCUAUGUUUCCAUUCCAGACUUGGCUGCCUUUCAGUGGUGGGUGAAGUUAUUCAGCUAUGUAUUUCAGAUAUAGAUUUCAGUGCCAUUGAAGCAUUAAGGGAUUCUUAUGGAUGAAAGGUGUCCAGGAAAAAUAAGCCAGGAGGUAGAAAUAGACCACUUGGAGUCUUAAAUGACAACUGGGCAGAGGAUAUGAAGUCAUUGCUACUUUGAAAGAGGCAUAUGUACUUUAGGGCCCACAAAUAACUGUAGAAAACACUUUGUAGCCAUCCACAUGGUGGCUGUAAUAGCUACUGGGUCUUAAUAGGUUUUAGUCCUGAACAUGCAAGUAAGUAUCUCCUAGGACAGGUAGAUGGUGGCAGGAGACAGGCUGAUGCAGUUUCUGGCUGGAUCCCUAAGGUCACCAGGUUGAGAUGAUGUUUCUUGAACCAAGGGGUUUUACAGGAUGGAAACCGGAAUCGGCAACCAACUGGAAGUUGUGAACUGUGGUCCGUCACUCGAAACCGUCCUGGUGUCUGCGAAGCAGCUUGCAGCUCUCUUAAUGAGUCUUUUCAAACAAAGCAGGAUCCACAGGGCAUCCCUAUUAAAAUUUUUGCUUUCUGCAGAGCUUAAAGCGAAGUUUGGAGCAAGCACGGAUGGAGGUGUCCCAGGAGGAUGACAAAGCACUGCAGCUUCUCCAUGAUAUCAGAGAGCAGAGCCGGAAGCUCCAAGAAAUCAAAGAGCAGGUAGGCCUGCUUGCCUGGGAGCACAGCAGCAUCUCGGCUCGCUUGGACCUCUAAUUUCAGGAGAGGCAUGUUUGAGAGAGAAAUAGGAAGAAAGGGAGAGAGAGAAAGGGUGGGGGCAGAGUGGAAGAGAGACAGGUAUGUAGGUCAUUCAGAAACUUCAGAUUUCUCAUAAUUUAUAUACAUCAUAGAAUGCUUGUUCCAGCUCCUUUUGAAGCUGAUACCCCAUAAUGUCUGCUUUUAAAAAUAAAGAUGUAGGUUUAGAGCAAGAGUGGGCAAACUUCAGCCUGUGGGGCAAAGCUGGUCCAACACCUAUUUUCUAUGGCCCACAAGCUAAGAAUGGGGUUACGUUUUUAAACAGUUGG